ACUGUAUAAUUUUAUGCUCCUCCUACAAGAGAACAAAAGGGGAAAAAAGUAAGUAGUACAAAGAAGAAUUACAAGCUAAUUGAUUCUCUAUCUGUUUCUUCUUUAUUAAAUUAGCACAGUGGAGAAAAGAUAAGAGGGUUAUUUCGGUUGUUCUCAUCAUAUUAAAAGGCUUUAAAUGCCAAAGCAUGGUUAAACAUAAUUUACUGAAUAAAAUACCAUAUGGUAAAGAAUCGGGCAAAAUUAAGACAAAUAGCCACAGAAAUAAUGCUUUUCAAGCAUGGGUAUUUAUAACCCCAAACCUUUAAUUGGAUUCCGG
RNAcentral lists this unclassified non-coding RNA (316 nucleotides) under Hevea brasiliensis (rubber tree). Lineage: Eukaryota; Viridiplantae; Streptophyta; Magnoliopsida; Malpighiales; Euphorbiaceae. The record is from RNAcentral.